UACGGAGGGGGCUAGCGUUGUUCGGAAUUACUGGGCGUAAAGCGCACGUAGGCGGCUUUGUAAGUUAGAGGUGAAAGCCCAGGGCUCAACCCUGGAAUUGCCUUUAAGACUGCAUCGCUAGAAUUGUGGAGAGGUAAGUGGAAUUCCGAGUGUAGAGGUGAAAUUCGUAGAUAUUCGGAAGAACACCAGUGGCGAAGGCGGCUCACUGGUCCGGUACUGACGCUGAGGUGCGAAAGCGUGGGGAGCAAACAGG
This 253-nucleotide ribosomal RNA is filed under the name uncultured bacterium. Its description in RNAcentral is "partial 16S ribosomal RNA". It matches the Rfam family "Bacterial small subunit ribosomal RNA", at positions 524 to 776 of the family's 1533-position model. The record is from RNAcentral.